UCGAGUCUUCAGGGUUGGUGCUGGGAAGGUCAUUGUUCAUCAGCUCUAAGCCACUCCUUGGUUUCCAUAAAUUAGGGUGAACCUUGGGAGUUGCCUGCAUUCAAUCAAUAUCAUCACAAUCAAAUGACCAACUAUUGCUCCGAUUUCAAUUUCGAAAGGAAAGAGAGGAGAAAUCUAAUAGGAAAGAAUUAUAACGCAUGUCAU
Molecule: long non-coding RNA, 204 nt
Filed under: Prunus persica (peach)
Lineage: Eukaryota; Viridiplantae; Streptophyta; Magnoliopsida; Rosales; Rosaceae
Description: long non-coding RNA (PPER_LNC001644)
Source: RNAcentral